AUGAGAUUCUGUAUUGGCCAACUCUUUCUAACUAUCACUAGGCCGGAUACUCCGAUUCUCUGUGGACGAUUUCCUUCUCUCCCGUCCAAUGCCCUUUGGUCUCGAGGAUCACCAUUUGGUGGGGUUGGGGUCACAUCCGAAGUCGUAUUGGAGAAUUGA
This 159-nucleotide ribosomal RNA is filed under the name Triticum aestivum (bread wheat). RNAcentral's name for it is "partial small subunit ribosomal RNA". The record is from RNAcentral. Lineage: Eukaryota; Viridiplantae; Streptophyta; Magnoliopsida; Poales; Poaceae.